RNAcentral lists this long non-coding RNA (1869 nucleotides) under Cucumis sativus (cucumber). RNAcentral's name for it is "long non-coding RNA (CSAT_LNC001643)". The record is from RNAcentral. Lineage: Eukaryota; Viridiplantae; Streptophyta; Magnoliopsida; Cucurbitales; Cucurbitaceae.
UCCCUCCCGCGCGCACAGCCACCCCCUGUUCGCCGCCCAUUUUUUUUCUCUCUUCUCCUUCCGUUCCCAGCCCAGCCGCACGCCUCCCUCUCUUCCCUUCCGUUCGCCGCAGCCCAUCCGUCGGCCGUCUCCCCUCUCCUUUCUCCUCUGUUUUCUGCACCGCCGCGUCUGUUCGUCAGCCGACAGUAAGACAACAUCGUGCUUCUUUUUCCAGCCACGAAUUUAAAGUCGAUCCAUGCCCAAAUCUUCUGCACAAUCUUGUUUGCUUUAGUUUUGUGCACCGCCGCCUCUACGUUGUUGUAAGUUUGUUUUAGUAAGGAUGAAAUUGAUGGGUUAUGAGGUUCUGCAUUGUAAAUACAUUGAAAUGUGAUGUUUGUUAUUUGGUUGAAUUGAUGUUAUUCUUGAAGGCGACAUCGGUUAUUUGGAGUUAGUGUCCUUGAGUUUCGCAGUAAACUUCGUUGGAGUUCGAUUCUUUACUCUUUGGGAUUUGAUUGCUGGAAUUAGUUCGACCAAGGAAUUUUGCAUAAAAAUCGAGGUAAGAGACUUUCUACUGGACCCAUAUGUGAAUUUAAAUGAUUAAAACCAUUUGACUGUAUAUGUGAAAUUGAGCAACUUAAAGGGAAUGACUGCUAAGAUUAAGUCGAUGUGGUUAAAGGGACUUAAUGGCUUUAGAUAGUUUUAUGUGUGUUGAUGAAAUGACUAAAUUAAAAAUGUUUGUUGUUUGAACUGAGGAUGGUUGACUCUUAUGUUAAAGAAUAGAUAGUAUACGACAGUAUACGUUUGAUUGGAAUGACUGAAUUGAGAUAAGUUGCACUUAUGUAUGAGUAUACCUAAUUGAGAAAUCGUUACGCUAAGGUCGGAUUAUGUGUUAGUAAGGGUUUUAUCUACUACUGGACUCAAUUACCGUUAUAUAUAUGUGUGUGUACUGAUGUAGACUGGUGUUGAAUGUGUACUGUAAAUGACUGGAACUAUGCAUAUACAUAAAUGAACGUAAACUUUGUGUUAAAUGCAUAUGAAGAUUGUCUGGGAUUAAAUAUGCAGGUGUGGUUGUAGACAGGACGAUUUUAGUAGAUCGUGUUGUAUAAAUUUUUGGAUGUGAACUCGUGAUUUUGACUGAUUUGGGUGUGGGUUAUAAUAUAAAGUGCGGCUUGUACUGGUGAACUGAGAGGUGUCAUGACUUUGUGGUUUGAUUGACUGAUGUAUUUAAUUGUUAUCAACGGUCUUUAGGCUAAAGUGAGAUAAGUUGACUGUUAGAAUGUUAAGUGAGAAAACUAUAUAUGUUGAAGUAAUGGAACGGUGUUAUAAAUGACUAUUAAGAUGUUUAGAAUGGAUUGAGGAAAAUUGUUAGUUUUUAUUGGGAUGUGUACCUUGUAGAUGUCCCACGGGAUCACCAAUUAUUAUGCACCCUUUGGGAGCAUUAGACUGAUAUGUGUUUCUGCAGAACACUAGACUGAAAUGUACGUCCCUCGAGGCGUUAGACUGAUACGUGUAUCCUACAGGAUCACAAGACUGUGACUGUGCAAGGUAUCCCAAUAGGACGUUAACAAUUUAUUUUUCCAUAACGGGACGAGUAGUGGGUCUCUUACUGAGUAUUUUUGUACUCACCCCUUUAUGUUUAAUUUUUCAGGCAAAAACAACAAAGGUGGCAAACCGGCGAGGGGCAGGAAGGAAGCGUGAUUUCCAUGGAUGGGAAAAUGUUAUUUUGCUUUCGUUUUAUGUUUUUUAUGUUUAAAACGCUAUGUUGAAACUUAGCUUACGAACUCUUUUUUGGUAAACAGUACUUUUUAAGUUUUGAAUAUUUGAAACCAGACCUAACUUAAAGUUGUUUUUUCUCAAUUGUAUGUUUUUUUUAAAUGCCUUACAUUUCAA